This 507-nucleotide ribosomal RNA is filed under the name uncultured bacterium. RNAcentral's name for it is "bacterial SSU rRNA". It matches the Rfam family "Bacterial small subunit ribosomal RNA", at positions 28 to 531 of the family's 1533-position model. The record is from RNAcentral.
GACGAACGCUGGCGGCGUGCCUAACACAUGCAAGUCGAGCGGAGUCGAUCGACGGAAGCCUUCGGGCGGAAGAUGGUUGACUUAGCGGCGGAUGGGUGAGUAACGCGUGGGCAACCUGCCUCGAAGACCGGGAUAACAGCCCGAAAGGGCUGCUAAUACCGGAUGUGGUCAAGGAUCCGCAUGGAUUUUUGAUUAAAGGGGAAACCCGUUUCGAGAUGGGCCCGCGUCCUAUCAGCUAGUUGGUGAGGUAAAAGCUCACCAAGGCGACGACGGGUAGCCGGCCUGAGAGGGUGACCGGCCACAAUGGAACUGAAACACGGUCCAUACACCUACGGGUGGCAGCAGUAGGGAAUAUUGGUAAUGCGCGAAAGCGUGAACCAGCAACGCCGCGUGUGCGAUGAAGGCCUUCGGGUUGUAAAGCACUUUUCGGGAGGAAGAGGAAGGACUGUACUCCCAGAAUAAGCCUCGGCUAACUACGUGCCAGCAGCCGCGGUAAGAUCACGUGUA